ACCCUAACCGGUGCGAAGGUAGCAUAAUCACUUGUUCUUUAAAUGAGGACUCGUAUCAACGGCAUCACGAGGGUUCCACUGUCUCCUUUAUCUAAUCAGUGAAACUAAUCUCCCCGUGAAGAAGCGAGGAUACUCUUAUAAGACGAGAAGACCCCAUGGAGCUUUAAACCCAAUUAUAUCUCUAACCACUAUAACCAUUUAACCACUUAGAACUUAUAUACUUGGUUUUAGGUUGGGGCGACCACGGAGCACAACCAAACCUCCACGAUGAACGGAACAACCCCCUUAUCUGAGAAUUACACUUCUAAGAAUUAGCACACUAACAUAAAAUGACCCAUUAUUGAUCAACGAACCAAGUUACCCUGGGGAUAACAGCGCA
Molecule: ribosomal RNA, 379 nt
Filed under: Mantidactylus catalai
Lineage: Eukaryota; Metazoa; Chordata; Amphibia; Anura; Mantellidae
Description: partial 16S ribosomal RNA
Rfam family: Bacterial large subunit ribosomal RNA
Source: RNAcentral